This 392-nucleotide long non-coding RNA is filed under the name Eucalyptus grandis. RNAcentral describes it as "long non-coding RNA (EGRA_LNC007829)". Lineage: Eukaryota; Viridiplantae; Streptophyta; Magnoliopsida; Myrtales; Myrtaceae. The record is from RNAcentral.
ACCGACAUUACAUAUUUAUUUUCAACAGAGCAACAUUCCAUUUUUGGCAAACGGAGUAUUCAGAAUCUGCCAAAUCAAUAUGAACUCAAUAACAAACUGCUUGAAACAUCCUGCAACUACAUAACUAAGUGUUUAGUCCAUUCAACUCAAGUAUCUCCCUAUAACCAGUUAUUCAUCAUGCUUCCUACAAUCGUAAGAUAAACCUUCUGAAAUCGUAAUUUAUGAUAUUCGCUUUGCAGCAAGAUACAGAAGAGUGAUGAAUGACAACAGACUAACAAAGAGGGCCGGGUCAAGAAAUAUAGAAGAUAAUGCACAGCGGUAUUAUACAACAAGGAGAAAAACAAAAUCUGCACUUCACCCAUGUCCUAGAUGAAAAUCUGCACUUCACACAU